Long non-coding RNA from Ostrea edulis (European flat oyster), 3231 nucleotides. RefSeq lists it as uncharacterized. The transcript has 2 exons. The record is from RefSeq and is a predicted model, not a curated record. Lineage: Eukaryota; Metazoa; Mollusca; Bivalvia; Ostreida; Ostreidae.
UGUUCGUUUUGUUUUACGUCUCGUGGAGAAAUGUCACUCAUAUUGAGACGUCACCAGCUGUAGGUGAAUUACCACAAAUUCAGUCCUAUGCUUAGCGCUUACGACGUAGCUGUGAGGAUUCUUUAUCCUGUCAACGCCUGCCGCUACAUGGGACCUCUGGUUUUUUUAAAGGUAAUAUCCGAAGAUUUCUACUAAAUACCGAACGUUUGGCGAAGGAACAAUGGCAGACUUGUUUACGUCUUAGGUUUUUGGGGGAACAUGAAUUACAGAAUGUCUUACUAAUGGUCGAUAAUGAAAUAGUGGAUGAACCUGUAUUACUAACUUCCUUAUUCAGCCAUGGUCGAUAAGAUGACAGGGGAUGCACUUGAUUUAUUGCAUGCCCUCUUCUUGGUCGAUAACAUGAUAUUGGAUGCACCUGAAUUACUAAAUGCCUUACACAUGGUGGAUAAGGUAAUAGUGGAUGAACCUGAAUUAUUGAAUGUCUUACACCUGGUGGAUAAGAUGAUACUGGAUGAAACUGAAUUACUGAACUUCUUACUCAUGGUGGAUAAGGUAAUAGUGGAUGAACCUGAAUUACUGAAUGUCUUACACAUGGUGGAUAAUAUAAUAGUGGAUGAACCUGAAUUAUUGAAUGUCUUGCUUAUCACGAAUACGAUAAUUGUGGAUGAACUUGAAUUACUGAAUGUCUUUGUGUUAUGGUGGACAAGAUAAUAGUGUAUGAUCCUGAAUUACUGCAUGUCCUACUCAUGGUGGAUAAGGUAAUAGUGGAUGAACCUGAAUUACUGAAUGUCUUACACCUGGUGGAUAAAGUAAUAGUGGAUGAACCUGAAUUACUGAAUGUCUUACACCUGGUGGAUAAAGUAAUAGUGGAUGAACCUGAAUCACUGAAUGUCUUACACCUGGUGGAUAAGGUAAUAGUAGAUGAACCUGAAAUACUGAAUGUCUCACACAUGGUGGAUAAGAUAAUAGUGGAUGAAACUGAAUUACUGAAUUUCUUACUCAUGAUCAUAGUGAAUUAUUAUGAAAUUACUGAAUGUCUUACACCUGGUGGAUAAAGUAAUAGUGGAUGAACCUGAAAUACUGAAUGUCUCACACAUGGUGGAUAAGAUAAUAGUGGAUGAAACUGAAUUACUGAAUUUCUUACUCAUGAUCAUAGUGAAUUAUUAUGAUGAUAUAUUUAUCUUUUGUUGAUAUGCUCUUUCGAGGAAGUGAUUUUUUCGACGAUUUGUUACUAAGUAGACAUUCAACCAAGAGUCAUUCAUAAUAUCAGUAACUCAUUUAAAGAACAUUGCUGAUUAAGUAGAAGGAAAGGAAAUUAUUUUGAAAUAUAUGAAAGGUGAAGAUAACGAAUAGUGAUCAAUCUCAUAACUCCUGUAAGGAAUACCAAUGGAAUCAAUCAACCAAUCCAUACAGAGUUUGAAACGACCACAUAACAACUUAUACUAAUACCUGUCCUACAUAUCCUGUGGGGACCGGGGCUAGAUACUAGUAGUCAUCAGAGCCACUUGCUUGUCGUUAGAGGUGACAAAAUCGGACGAGAUCGUAAAAACAAAGGUCCCAUAUACAGCAGCAGGUGUGGCACAAAACUAUCCCUACCUGCUCACCUGUCGUGGUAGCUCAGUGGUAGAGCGUUCGCUUCGUAUUCGGGAAGUCUUGAGUUCGAGCCCCGCUCGUGCCAUGGACGGGUCAAAUGUAAGACAUAUACAUAGAUAGCAGUUGCUUCUUCGCCAAACGCUCGCCAUUUAGAAGUGAGAAUUACAGGUGUUUAGGAUAUGACCUUAGAAACAGAAGUCCCGUGUUGCGUCACGUGUUGGCACGUUAAAGAGCCCUCACUGUUACGGCACUGGGCGCUAAGCAUAGCUCAAAUUUGUGGUACUUCACCUACAGCUGAUGACGUCUCAAUAUGAAUGGAUAAUUUUCGACGGAACUUAAAAGAAACAAUUUAUCAACUUCCCUGCUCAAAGGCCGUAAGCGCCUUGCAUAGGCCUAAAUUUUACACCCUUUCACUGCCAAUGAUGACCAAUAUCACGGAUUCGUUAACAGAACCUAAACCAAAUGAAGAUUCAAAUUACAUUCUUGAUUAAAUAAUCAACUACUGGGAAGAGAUCCACAAAUAGGAAUGUUUCGAUGCAAAUAACAGUUAAAUCUACAGAAUUCUGUUUCUGUGAGAAAUCCUAAGAGAACAGGAGAGAAACAGCAAAGGUGAAUCAACGUCACCAUGCAUGGUCAAAAGUCAGAUGGCCCAACGUCACCAUGCAUGAUCAAAAGCCAGACUGCCCAACGUCACCAUGCAUGAUCAAAAGCCAGACUGCCCAACGUCACCAUGCAUGAUCAAAAGCCAGACUGCCCAACGUCACCAUGCAUGAUCAAAAGCCAGACGGCCCAACGUCACCAUGCAUGAUCAAAAGCCAGAUGGCCCAACGUCAUGCAUGAUCAAAAGCCAGACGGCCCAACGUCACCAUGCAUGAUCAAAAGCCAGACGGCCCAACGUUACCAUGCAUGAUCAAAAGCCAGACUGCCCAACGUCCCAACCAUCGAGAGAUGGUUGCCAGUGUCAACAUUCAGAAGAAUUCAGAUGUCACUGUUAAUGUGAAAAUUAAGGAGGAGUGGCAGCAAUAUAUCUAACUGUAUAUGUUCUUAAAUCAGAUGUACAGAAAUUAAAACGUUUCUGUGAUAUGAUAAAAUUUUCAUUCUGAUAUCCGUUAAAGAGGUUCGCACCUGAGAUUUGGAGUAAUAUCAAUUUUUUGGGAAGUGUAUUUUCGAUUUCUACAUUGAAGGAGAAUUGAGAAAUUUAAAAACUUGUUAUUGAGCUAUAGUGUUCUAACAUGACUUUUUUGUACUUAAAAUUAACUCUAGAUCAGUCAAUUAAACGUGAUUUGUCUGUUGGUGUCAAUACAACAUAAGCAACACAAAUCAAUCAUUACAUAAACUAGAUUCAUAAUUAUGUCUUCUAACAAUACAUAUAAAAAAAGGUUUAACACUAGUAAUGGAAAUGAAUAAUGACCAUCUUGCACUUGAAAUACGAAAAAAUUCAUGAUAUAAAAUUUGAGAGUUUAAAAGGACAUAUUAGGAGUACUGUCGAUUUCUAAAAAUUUCAUAUAAUUUUCAAGGUCUUGUCUUAGAAUUAGAAAUGGAACUAAAAAAAGUGGGAUAAGAGGUCAAUUUUUUUAAUUAUUGGCGAAAAUAAGAAAUUUGUAUACAAAAUUUCGAAUAAAUUAAUUCAAACUUUUA